AGAACGAACGCUGGCGGCAUGCCUAAUACAUGCAAGUCGAACGAACACUUCGGUGUUAGUGGCGCACGGGUGCGUAACGCGUGGGAAUCUGCCCUUGGGUUCGGAAUAACAGUUGGAAACGACUGCUAAUACCGGAUGAUAUCGAAAGAUCAAAGAUUUAUCGCCCAGGGAUGAGCCCGCGUAGGAUUAGCUAGUUGGUGAGGUAAAGGCUCACCAAGGCGACGAUCCUUAGCUGGUCUGAGAGGAUGAUCAGCCACACUGGGACUGAGACACGGCCCAGACUCCUACGGGAGGCAGCAGUAGGGAAUAUUGGACAAUGGGCGCAAGCCUGAUCCAGCAAUGCCGCGUGAGUGAUGAAGGCCUUAGGGUUGUAAAGCUCUUUUACCCGAGAUGAUAAGUGAACAGUAUCGGGAAGUAAGUAAGCCCCGGACUAACCGUCCGACCGCCAGCAGCCGAC
This 457-nucleotide ribosomal RNA is filed under the name uncultured soil bacterium. Its description in RNAcentral is "bacterial SSU rRNA". It matches the Rfam family "Bacterial small subunit ribosomal RNA", at positions 26 to 522 of the family's 1533-position model. The record is from RNAcentral.